AACGCACCUUGCGCCCUCUGGUAUUCCGGAGGGCAUGCCUGUUUGAGUGUCAUGUAGACUCAAUCCCUCGGGUUUCCGAGGAGAUUGGACUUGGGUGUUGCCGCUCUGCCGGCUCACCUUAAAAGACUUAGCGGGAUAGCACCGUAGUCGACGUAAUAAGUUUCGUAGGUGAAGGUUGUGAUGACUGCUUACAAUCGCCCUUGGGCAAUUUUUGACUCUGACCUCAAAUCAGGUAGGACUACCCGCUGAACUUAA
This 255-nucleotide unclassified non-coding RNA is filed under the name uncultured fungus. RNAcentral describes it as "sequence contains ITS2". The stretch from base 1 to 52 matches the Rfam family "5.8S ribosomal RNA", at positions 103 to 154 of the family's 154-position model. The record is from RNAcentral. Lineage: Eukaryota; Fungi.